Dromaius novaehollandiae (emu) is the source of this 5218-nucleotide long non-coding RNA. RefSeq lists it as uncharacterized. The transcript is spliced from 3 exons. NCBI's taxonomy places the organism in Eukaryota, Metazoa, Chordata, Aves, Casuariiformes, Dromaiidae. The record is from RefSeq and is a predicted model, not a curated record.
AGCACUAGCACCUCCUUUCCAGCACUUGGGCUUAGUGAAGCUGCACAGUGAGAUGUAGAUGUGACCACGCAGAAAGUGAAAAAGGAACUUGCCCCAGCAAAUGUUUCAGGCAAAUCUGAAGACUGUGUUGUACUGACAAAAGAACCCAUAAAAGCAAUACUGCAGACACAUAGCACAACCUACUAAAAGAAAAGCAAAACAGAGCAACCUCCGAAUUCCAAGUCUCUGCAGGAAAGACUGCUUGUGUGAAGCUGAAAAGGAGCCAGCAUAUACAGCAAAGAAGCUGUGAUUUCAUCUCACAGCAGAAUAGAAACUCCAAGGCUUCACUGCAGCAAUUAGUGCAGAUGCAGCAUCACUCUGACUGGGUCCGUAUCAAAUGCUGGCAGAGGAGUCCCCGGAAGGAGGGUGCCAAUGUCAUUCUGUGUCACUGCCCACUUGCUUUUUAGUUCCAGUUCUCUGUGGAUAUCAGCCACAUUACAGCCUCAGAUCAGUGACUUGAAGCAAUGCUCAAGACAUUUGGAAAAAGAGCAGAAAACAUAAGAAGACAAGUGUUGAAGGGAACUUACAUAAUGCUAUCAGACUGGUGCAGACUGAAGCACAGGCUGCUGCUAUUUGUGGGGAAAUGAGAGAAUCUGAAAUACACUUAUAGCGUGCUUUGUGCCUGAUUGUGUCUUCAGAGCUAGUGCCUGUCCAAGAAUGCUGAUUUGGAGAAAGUACCUCCUAAAGGAAGCUAGAAAAGCACAAAGACUGCGUGGUACCGUGCCUACUUCCCAGGCUGCAUUUGUUCCAAGGCAGUCAAUGCAAACCACAUAUGUAAUGCACGCUGGCUCUCUCUUGCACCCCUUAGCUUUCUCUGUAUUACCGCUCUUCUUGUCUAAUCCAUCCCCUAUGCUAGAGCUGAGGCUGGUAUAAGUACCAGUAAGGAACCAAAUGCCUCUAAAUAUCUUUACUCUGGGACUGCUGGGCUGAGGGGAAGCAGUUUGCCCCUGUUAGAACGGCCUUAGGAAAACACUCACAUUUACCUUGCAGCUCUUGUGAACACUGUGGCAGGCAGGGAACCGUCACUGAACCUUGCUGUGCUGGUAAUCCAGCUCCUAAUCUCCCCCAACACCAUGUCUGUGUGUCCUUCAUGGGAAGGACGCAGAGCUGCAAGACCCCCACGCUGGAGGCAUAUUUCCGAGGAGCUCUCUAAUUGCAUUAUGUCUACUUGUGCUGGCAGAUAAAGAGCACCCUGAAUGCUUCUUCCAGGAGAAAGUUGCACCUACCUGCUCUCAUUUUUUCACCAACUGACAAUGGCUGUAACUGCUGCUUCCCUGUAGCACUUUGCAGUGAUAUCUCAGUGGAGAGAACAGCUCCCAGUGUUGGCUGAACCACAUGAAGAGCAAUUAGCAGUAUUUCUGUGAAAUGUUUGUAAACACUGAGCAUCUGUCUACCUUUGCUGAAUUACCUUUCCUUUUCCAGCAAAGGUAAUUCACUAAGAAAUUCAUGGGCCUCUUAUUUACAAUUCGUCAUUUCACACUGCGGAUCAGAAAGUUUUGAUUACUCCACUGGGGACUGGAAACAAAACAAUUAGGCUGUGACUCAGAAAUCACAGGGAGAAAUACGGUCAGAGUCCUGUGCAACAGUAGAAAGGUUUUAAACAGAUUGUUUUGUUUAUAAUUAUGUACUGUUAAUAUAUCUGUAAAAAUCACAGUCAGUUUGCCAGAAAAUUAUUACAUUUAUCUGCUAAUUUAUUCAUAAUGCUGUGAUUAACAACUUUCUAUUGUUUAUCUGGCUUAUCUAUUUUCCUAAAAAAACCUCACCAAAAUUAAUCAAUAUAGAGCAGCAGCACUUUUUGUCGAAGACAACGUUUUGCAGUUGAAUCUCUCUAAUGCUACUAUUGACUAUACUGAACGGAAAUUUAGAAAAGCCCUGCUUUACAAAAGGUAUAUAGAUUCCUGCAACAAAAGCUUUAUGUUUUUGUUUUGAGGUCUGACCUGAAGUAACCACAGAGUUCUAGAAAUACUGGACAAAUUGCUAGAAAUGAUAAUAUGUAAUGUAAUCAGUAGGCUCAAGAUAUAAUGAAGAAAAAUCAGCAUACCUUUUGUGGAAAAAAUAAUGUCUCACAGAUCUUGUGGAGUUUUUUGGGGAGAAGAAAGGGGUCACUAGUCAAGUUUCACAGGGAUCUGUAUCGAGGCUUGUGUUGUUUGAUAUAUUCAUAAGGUAUCUGGUAAAGGAAGAGGAGUUUGAGGUGAGAGAAUUUGCUGAUGAUAAGUUAUUCUGGGUUGUACAGAUGAAAAUCAACUGUAAAGAGGAUUUUAAGAUACGAGUUAUUGGGUUAAAAAUGGCAGAAAACUUUUGAUGAAGUACUGAAUUACCUCCUACUACUCAUGAAAAAGAGAUCCAAGUUAUGAUACACAGUUUUAUAAAGUUAUCAGCCCAGUGCUCAGUGGUGGGGGAAGACAGCAAAUAGAACACUAGGAAUUUUUAGGGGAAGAACAGAGAAGAAACCGUAAUCAUACAACACAGGAAAUUCCUGGUGAACUCACAUCCUAAAUACUGUCUGCAGCUCCAGUUCUCUCCUGCCAAAAAAGAAUAAGAAAAGGUACAAAGAAGGGCAAGAAAGCUGAUAAACAGUUGGAGUAACUUUCAUACAAAGAAUAACUAAAUAGUCUAGGACUUUCCAGACUGGAACAGGAAGAGUAGAGGAGAGAUUUGACAAUGGAUCAUAAAAUCAUGAGCAUCAUAGAGAAAGGCACUAGAGAAUAAUUAUUUACUGUUUCACAAAGCAUAAGAGCUAGAGGAAACCAAGAGAAAUUGGCAGGUAACAGGUCCAAAACAAAUAAAAAAGGUGCUUUUUAUGCACAGAUGAGUAAUUGGAUUUUGGAAUGCUGUAUAACCUUGUGAAUGCCAAGGGUUUAAUGGGCUCAAACACCUACUGGACACAUUAAUGGAAGAAAAAUUAAUCAAAGUCUAUCAACGACAAAAAUACCGCAUCUGUCCCAGAAAGUUAUGGAACCACAGAUUGCGGUGAGCUGAAACACGUACUAAAUGUCGCUAUACACUUGUGCUCUUCAUGCAGUUUUGUCUAGGUGACCACCACUGUCCUCAGCUGGAGACAUGCUGCUGGGCUGAGUGGCUCUUUGCUGUGACCCAGCCUGGCCAUUUUUAAGACAUAAUUAGAAUUCAGCAACCAUGAAUGUAUUUGCACUGAAACAAAAAUGAAAGGUGUCCACCUUUCCAAAGAAAAAGCAGUGAUGGAAAGUUAGCUAACUGUCAUAAGAAUAAUGAGCAGUAUCAGACUGUUUUGGUAUUGUAUCCAGAUAAAAUGAGUAAAGUUUUUUUCCUGCAAAAGAGAAAAGGAGAGAGAUGCCAGGAGUGGAAAGAACUGGAUAAAAGGAAGCAACACAAAAGCUUCACUAAGCUUUAUCCAGAUAAAUACCCCCUAUCUACAGUCCAUGGUAUUUGGACCUGUAGUUUCCGAUCUACCACUCUGAUAAUCAGCUCAUUUAAAAGAUAGAUUGUUAUCCUGACAAAUACUUGGGGAUAACCUUUAUUAUGAUACAAAUGGAUCAGUAAGUUAUGGCAAAACAGGCAUAUUGUAGCCAGCCCAUAUUCAGGGGGCUCCUCAUGUCUUUGUGAAUUACCUAAUUUUGAUUUUGCUCUCCCAUUAUAAAAUACCCACUCAUCGUAAACUUUUCACUCCAAUUUUCAUGCGAGUAUUUUAGGAAGCACAGGGUAGAAUUCAGAAAUGGUUCAUAUGUGGUGUAAAUAAGAAUCUACUAGGACUUGUCCUAUGAAACAGUACUAAUAAGAAAUAAUAAAAGAAAAGACUUCCUUCUCUGAGUUAGCUAACUUCCUAGUAUCUACAUGGAUAGGUAAAGUUACCGUAAAUUGCAGAUUAGCUUUUCACAGUGGGUUAGGGCUUGAAGUAAGGUUCUAGUGAAGCUAAAGAAGUUUGUAUUUCCACCCGAGUUAGUAGUCCCAGCUACAAAGACAAACCUAAUAAGGACAUGUGAAAACUACAGUCUGACAUGCCUUUAUUGAGAUUCCACCUCAGUUUAACUGACUCAAGUCAAGAGCACAUUUUUUGCCGAUUUAUUUGCUGUAGAACAAGGGCUAGGCCUUAGACCUCAUUACAGAUACAUGACAGUCUGUAAUUGUAGGAGAUUAUGAUAUGAUAUAAUUCAUACAUUCAAGAACUGUAAGAAGGUGCAAACUGAAGCUCAUAGUGCUGUAUAAAUGUAUUUAUACUGUUACACUCUGCAUUUCUCAUUAGACUUCUCUGACUCUCUGGAGUGCGAGUUAGUCACUUCAGUCAUUUCUAUAGAAAUUGAUUUCGAGCAAGUUUUGUUACACCAUGCAAGCUCACUGCCCUAAAUUCUGGUUUAGUCUACACUGCAAAACUAGUGAUUUACGUGAACUUUAAACUGGAUGAAUUACGUCUAAAUGGGAAAGCAAAUGUUGGUCUAACAAGACCUACUGAUUCAAAACUGAUAAUUCUUUUAAGUCAUUUUGAAUUCUUUCAUAUAGAUAAGACCUUGGACAAAUUUAGGAAUCAUAUACUGUAUAUACAGCCAGGUUAGCUAGCUAGCUCCCUGCUCUUCUAUUCUGGAGACUGGACAUAGAACCAUUAAUAAACAUAUCCUUAUGUUAACCGCGUGCUGAUCAGGAACUGCUGAAAUGUAAAAGCAAGCAUCUCUGGGAACCAAGCCCUGCUACAGUAGGCAAGCCUAAACAAGGAUUACAAAGGCUGCUCAGGAUUAAACUCUAUUUUGAACUUUAUUUAAUUUUACUGUUGCACUCUGCCCAUUGAAUAGUAUUUCCUUUUUCUCCUCUUUGGUCUUUCUGUACCACUAUAGUCAAUUACUGAAACAUGAAGAUCUCAGAUAUCAAAUGUUGCCAGUCUGGAUUUGUGCGUCUUUGAAUUUGUUCAACAACUCUCUCCUCCAGCAUCAAUCUGUAAGUGCGUCUACUCACAGACUGUUUCUCCUCAUGAUAUAUACAGUGUACAUUAUCCACAUCUAAACUAGCAUGUUAUUUUAAUGGAUCCCUCAGACCAUUCAUUGAUUCCUCAAGUGCAAAACUAUUUUGAUAUUUUACUCACUCUUUCUGAUUUUUUACAGUAAUGUGGGGAAAAUGGAGUAUGUGGUUCUUUAGGAAAACAAACUCUUCUUCAUUCUCUUUUGAAAGAUUGCUAAUGUGAGCUGAUUAAAGAUGUCCUUUCCAAAAACCUCUA